UGGGGAAUUUUGGACGAAUUGGGCGAAAGCCUGAUCCAGCAAUGCCGCGUGUGUGAAGAAGGCCUUCGGGUUGUAAAGCACUUUUGUCCGGAAAGAAAUCCUUGGCUCUAAUACAGUCGGGGGAUGACGGUACCGGAAGAAUAAGCACCGGCUAACUACGUGCCAGCAGCCGCGGUAAUACGUAGGGUGCAAGCGUUAAUCGGAAUUACUGGGCGUAAAGCGUGCGCAGGCGGUUUGCUAAGACCGAUGUGAAAUCCCCGGGCGUCAACCUGGGAACUGCAUUGGUGAUCUGGCAGGCUAGAGUAUGGCAGAGGGGGGUAGAAUUCCACGUGUAGCAGUGAAAUGCGUAGAGAUGUGGAGGAAUACCGAUGGCGAAGGCAGCCCCCUGGG
Molecule: ribosomal RNA, 390 nt
Filed under: uncultured bacterium
Lineage: Bacteria
Description: partial 16S ribosomal RNA
Rfam family: Bacterial small subunit ribosomal RNA
Source: RNAcentral